This 1029-nucleotide ribosomal RNA is filed under the name Massariosphaeria grandispora. RNAcentral describes it as "SSU rRNA". It matches the Rfam family "Eukaryotic small subunit ribosomal RNA", at positions 84 to 1123 of the family's 1831-position model. The record is from RNAcentral. Lineage: Eukaryota; Fungi; Ascomycota; Dothideomycetes; Pleosporales.
AAACUGCGAAUGGCUCAUUAAAUCAGUUAUCGUUUAUUUGAUAGUACCUUACUACUUGGAUAACCGUGGUAAUUCUAGAGCUAAUACAUGCUAAAAACCCCAACUUCGGGAGGGGUGUAUUUAUUAGAUAAAAAACCAAUGCCCUCCGGGGCUCUUUGGUGAUUCAUAGUAACUUAACGGAUCGCAUGGCCUUGCGCCGGCGACGGUUCAUUCAAAUUUCUGCCCUAUCAACUUUCGAUGGUAAGGUAUUGGCUUACCAUGGUUUCAACGGGUAACGGGGAAUUAGGGUUCGAUUCCGGAGAGGGAGCCUGAGAAACGGCUACCACAUCCAAGGAAGGCAGCAGGCGCGCAAAUUACCCAAUCCCGACACGGGGAGGUAGUGACAAUAAAUACUGAUACAGGGCUCUUUUGGGUCUUGUAAUCGGAAUGAGUACAAUUUAAACCCCUUAACGAGGAACAAUUGGAGGGCAAGUCUGGUGCCAGCAGCCGCGGUAAUUCCAGCUCCAAUAGCGUAUAUUAAAGUUGUUGCAGUUAAAAAGCUCGUAGUUGAACCUUGGGCCUGGCUGGCCGGUCCGCCUCACCGCGUGUACUGGUCCGGCCGGGCCUUUCCUUCUGGAGAACCCCAUGCCCUUUACUGGGUGUGCGGGGGAACCAGGACUUUUACUGUGAAAAAAUUAGAGUGUUCAAAGCAGGCCUUUGCUCGAAUACGUUAGCAUGGAAUAAUAGAAUAGGACGUGCGGUUCUAUUUUGUUGGUUUCUAGGACCGCCGUAAUGAUUAAUAGGGAUAGUCGGGGGCAUCAGUAUUCAAUUGUCAGAGGUGAAAUUCUUGGAUUUAUUGAAGACUAACUACUGCGAAAGCAUUUGCCAAGGAUGUUUUCAUUAAUCAGUGAACGAAAGUUAGGGGAUCGAAGACGAUCAGAUACCGUCGUAGUCUUAACCGUAAACUAUGCCGACUAGGGAUCGGGCGAUGUUUCUAUCUUGACUCGCUCGGCACCUUACGAGAAAUCAAAGUUUUUGGGUCUGGGGGAG